Long non-coding RNA from Homalodisca vitripennis (glassy-winged sharpshooter), 4352 nucleotides. RefSeq lists it as uncharacterized. The transcript has 2 exons. The record is from RefSeq and is a predicted model, not a curated record. Lineage: Eukaryota; Metazoa; Arthropoda; Insecta; Hemiptera; Cicadellidae.
CCUACCUACUUGAGAACAGCAUUCUGAUGGACAUCAGAUUACAGGGACUUGACACAGAAACACUAAAUACUAUUGGUGGAUACGUCAACAUUGUUGAUACUGCAAUACAAAUCUGUUUAUGCCUACCUACUUGAGAACAGCAUUCUGAUGGACAUCAGAUUACAGGGACUUGACACAGAAACACUAAAUACUAUUGGUGGAUACGUCAACAUUGUUGAUACUGCAAUAAAAUCUGUUUACACCUACUUCACAAAAGCAUUCUGAUGGACUUCAUGAAUACAGGGACUUAAUGUAGAAACAAUAUGUACUAUUUUGAAUGUGUGUCUGUAUUGCUAGUAUUUUAAUGUAAUAAUGUAAACUAGUCAGUUAACAACAUAGUGGUGAUAGGAGGUAUGUACAGAGUAUCUGUGUAAUUUGCAAAACCCGUUAUAUCAUGUUUACAAAAAUAUUAAGUAUUUAGGAAAAACGUUUAGAAUUCUUCUUAUGCUAUUUUAUAUUGAUUGCAUAUGCUUUAUAAAAUUAAAUUAAAUGCUAUUAGUAUCCUGUCAAAUGCCUUAUAGUUACAGAAUUUUCAUAUUAUUUUUAAUGAAAGAAAUCAUUGAAUCUGAUAGGUUUUACAUCUGCAAAAAUGAUUAACUGUCAUACGUAAACAAGUGCUGCCACUACUUAUUACAACUGAUGCAUUAAUUCAACUUUCUAAAAAAUAACAAUAACUAUCAAAGGUGUAAAAAUAACUUUUUAGCCAAACAAAAUAGAAAAUAGAGUAAGAAAAUCCAAAUAAACUGGCUUACUACUGAAUAAAGUUGUAUAGCAUAAUAAAGAACUGGUUUUGCAUCUGUUCUUUCAAAACAGCCUUCUUGAACCAAUGAGUUUAAUUUGCUUGGCACUGUAAACAUGGCAGAUAGAUUUGACGUAUCUUUGUCCUGGAGCUGUAAUGGAUAUAUCUGGUCUUGGAAAUUGGUGCAGGUUUUAAAUUAAAUUUUCAUGUGUUUUAACAGGUUUAUACACAAACUGUAUUCAGAACUAUAGUAUAUUAGCUAUAGUUCCCAUGGAACUUAAUAUCUAAACAAUUUUCUAAUGCGGAUUUAACAGGUUUUGCAAUAACAUUGGCUUAACGACUUAAGAACUGCUACUGAUGAAUGUGUGUGCACUAUUGGUAGAUGACCAAUACAAACCAGUUAAUUGACAACAACUGAUAGACGUUACGUAGAAACAAGUAAUAUUGGUUGUAGAUACUCCUAAUUGACACUAAUUGUUGAUACUCAAUUAUAAAGUAUUCACAUUACAAUAACAUACUGAUUGGAAACUGGUACAGAGAGGCACAGAGAUACUAAGAUAGUGAAUGUGUGAGCAUUGAUAUACUAAAAUACAAACCAAUCACUUUACAGCUACAUUCUGAUGGGGACAGGAUUACAGAAACACUAAGAACCUACUUAUUGUGAAGAUGACUGCAUUGUAAACAAAAUGUUAUUAAAACUUUCUGAUCAACUUUAAAUUUCAUUCGUUUAUAUAUAUUAUAAAAAGACUAUUCUAAAUUUAAACGAAUUACUGUAUUUAUCUACUAAAAUAGCUUCCAUCUGGAGCUGAAGUUUUUAAUUUUUUUUUAACUUAACAAUUUGUACAUGAUCAGGAUGUACACUAUUUAGUUUUUUUUUACUAACCAAAUAGUAGUCGAUUAUGACAGAAAAAAAUAUCACUAGGACAAAUUCAAUUAAUUUUAACUGAAUUCUUGUUAAUUGAGUUAGGGUUUUUGUUUGUAUCUAUGUUAGAAGAAAACUAAAUAGAAUUGUUCAUUCUUGUCAUGUACAAAAGUUUUAAGCAUAUUCACAUUAUAUGGAAUAAUUAUUUUCAAAUACAUAAAUACGCUUUAAUUAUUAUGGAGUUCUGUUGCUUUAUGAAAAGAUGUAAUAUAUAGGCACCAGUUGUGCGUUUUAUCUGAUAAUCUGAAUUUGUAAAGCAGUACAUAAUACUUAAUAUUACUAUGACUACCAAUAAACAUAAAAAGUUCAAUUAAUUUAUAAAUUCAUUCUUCUCAAAUAUAAUUUGUUUCAGAAUGAUUGGUUUAUCAAGCUCUAGUCAGGCUCAUAAAUGUUAUUGAUUUUAUCACCAAAUAAUAUAUCAAAUUAUUUUGAAUACAAUGAAGAAGCAUGAACAUCAAAAUUAAUUUGUUUCGGACUAUGAUUAAUAUUAAUUUUAACAUAUACAUCUAUCAUAGUCCAUUAUCUUGCUUUAAUAAUGUACAAAUAAUUAUUUAACAUUGAUGUAUACCUUAAGAUAUAUCAACGAUGUUCCCCCCAUAAAAUGCAAGUAUACAACGAUUCAUAUUCUAGCUAGUUCCCAACUUAAUGUGAUCCCUUUUUAACACAUGAAUUGUAAAUACUUGCCUAUUUUGGUAACGAUUCCUGUAAAUGUUUGAUAAGACAAUCGAAACAAUGUAUAUAAGAUUGUUUAGUAUUUAUAAGUCAAAAGUGUGCCGAAAUUAUAUACUAUAAAUAAUAAAAACAAAAAUAAAACUGAACUUAAUUUGGUUUUUCAAUUUAACUUAAUGUAGUCAAAGUACUGACUGUGAAUUAUUACUAAACUUACUUUGAGCACUUGUUAGAGUCAGAAAUCGUUUAGUCACUAAAAUAAUGAUAAUAAAUUAACAAAAUUGUUAAAAUUACUCUAGUAAUUUAUAAUUACUUAUUUUUAAGAGGAAUUAAUGAAGAUUAAUUAUUCAACACUGUUUCCAGUGUAUUAAUGUCAUAAUUAAAGUUUGUGAUUUAAACAUAUAUUAGUUAAUAUCGGAAUGUAAUAUAAUAAAACAUAAUCAUUUAAGUUUGUACCUCUUAUAAAUACUCUUCAACAAAUGUUUGCUCGUUAGGUUUUUUAAUUCACAACACAUUAAAAUCUAAAGUUAUAUGGCACAUGUUCUAAAAUUAUAUUUCCGGCGCAGGUGUAGCAGAAAACGUUUAAUCCAUUAAUAAAUUACAAUUAUUAAUAAACUGAAGUAAUUUAAAUAAUUAUUGUACUUGAUUAUAUAUCUUUUAAGUAUAUUUAUAUUUAGUACUAUCAGUUAUAUAAUUUAUUAAAUUUUACCUUUCAAUUUAUUUUAUCUUAUAUAAAUAGUUAAACCUUGGGAAAUUUUAUAAAAUGGAUUUAACUUCACAUGUAUACUUUUAUUAUCACUAAAAUGUUUUGUGUAUGUGAAGAAAUGCCUGAAAACAAUGCAUUUGUAGAAGAUAAAUGAAGGUAUUUUAUUAUUAAGAGAAAAAUCCAUAUAUGAAAUGUAAGAAGUUCAUUAUGGUGUUCAUUAAAAAGUUCAACUCCCUUAUAAUUUGUGAUUAGCAACCUCUUGUUCUCAAAACAUGUCUCCCACAUGUAGACAACUGAUGGGUCUUGCCACCUACAUGACAGGUAGUCAUUUCCAUGUAUAUAUUUGGUUAUAUAAUGAUAUCUGUUGAUGGGGGGCAAAAAGUAAAUUAGGAAAAUUGUUGUACCAAAAAACAUUUGUCGUUUUUGUAAUUGAUUACAUUGAUCUAAAUUCUCCUCAUCACAUCAGCCUUUGUACCUGUGUAUUCAUCUGUCAUUGAAGUUAUAAAUCUUACUUGUAAAGAUGGAUUGCAAGACUAUUUUAAAAUGUAGUGCAUUCAAAAAAUCAUUUAAAAUUGGCAUGCUUUCCCUUAGAUUGUAUUUGCAUGUUUAACAUUUUAAAAUAUUUUUAGAACCUAUUGUGAAGGGACAUUUUGAACAAGUUGUAUACAUUACAUACCUUAUCUUCUGUAGUUAAAUAACAGAAAAAAGAAUAUACUUUACAGCGAAAUAAUCCAAUUGUUUAUUUUAUUUUACAUUGUUCUAGAAAACUGGAAAAUGUGCCAUAUCUUUUUCACACACAAACACAAACACAUACAUUUACAGAUACGGAGUCACACAUUGUCUACUCUUAAAAUUAUUAAGUAAAUUGACUGAUUAAUUUUUGAAACAAAAUAAUACACAUUUUUAGUGACAUAACCUCAAAUUUCAUUUACUACUAGAAGACUGUGUAAUGUUUGGUUUGUUUGACUAAAGAACGAGAUGGUCGCUCAGUUCCUGUAUAGCCUAGUCUUACUUAGUAAUGAUGAAAAACCAGCGCACAUUAGAAAUAACAAGGUUGUUUUGUAUAAAAUAUAAAUGUUAAAAUGUAUUAAAUAAAUAUUAUUUGUAAAAUAGUAAUAAAGUUUGUAUUAGUUAAAGAUAAAAUGUUGUUGAGUUUUAUAUAAAAUAGAAAAAAUAAUAAAAUGUAAGGUUUCUAACAGAGCCUACUAUUUAAGGCUUUAAUUCCAUAUUUAAUACGGGUAUUUGAUGUACUGACUGAAUAAAUUAAAUCCUCAAAA